AGAGUUUGAUCACGGCUCAGGAUGAACGUUGGCGGCGUGCCUAAUACAUGCAAGUCGAACGAAGACUGUAGUAAUACUGUCUUAGUGGCGAACGGGUGAGUAACGCGUGGGUGACCUGCCCCGAAGUGUGGGAUAACAGUCCGAAAGGAUUGCUAAUACUGCAUAAUAUCCAAGAGAUUAGAUGCUUUGGAUUAAAGGAGUAAUUCGCUUCGGGAGGGGCCCGCGUCCCAUCAGCUAGUUGGUAAGGUAAUGGCUUACCAAGGCGAUGACGGGUAGGGGACCUGAGAGGGUGGCCCCCACAAUGGAACUGAAACACGGUCCAUACACCUACGGGUGGCAGCAGUAGGGAAUAUUAGUAAUGGGCGAAAGCCUGAACUAGCAACGCCGCGUGUGCGAAGAAGGCCUUCGGGUCGUAAGGCACUUUUUGAGAGGAUGAGGAAGGACGGUACUCUCAGAAUAAGUCUCGGCUAACUACGUG
Molecule: ribosomal RNA, 478 nt
Filed under: uncultured bacterium
Lineage: Bacteria
Description: bacterial SSU rRNA
Rfam family: Bacterial small subunit ribosomal RNA
Source: RNAcentral